Non-coding RNA from Massilia sp. LC238, 403 nucleotides. NCBI's taxonomy places the organism in Bacteria, Pseudomonadati, Pseudomonadota, Betaproteobacteria, Burkholderiales, Oxalobacteraceae. The record is from Rfam.
GUAAAAUGGGUGUUCCGCCGUUUUUAUUCGGUAUAAUGCGGGAUCGUUGGGUUGUAGGUAGUAGUGCAGUCUGUCUGUCAUUCCUUUCUUGCUUCUUCAAACGAUCUUAAACGGGCGCAAGCCCAACUUAACUGAAAUAGGAAAUUGUAAUGGCAACUGGCAUCGUUAAAUGGUUCAAUGAUUCGAAGGGUUUCGGCUUCAUCACCCCUGAUGAAGGCGGCGAAGAUCUGUUCGCACACUUCUCGGCAAUCCAGAGCACCGGCUUCAAAUCGCUGCAAGAGAACCAGCGCGUUUCGUUCGACGUGACCACUGGCCCGAAGGGCAAGCAGGCCGCGAACAUCCAGCCGCUGUAAUCGCUCUCCAGCGAUAGCAAAAAAUCCCCGGAUCGCCGGGGAUUUUUUUU